RNAcentral lists this ribosomal RNA (122 nucleotides) under Halorubrum sp. GN11_10-6_MGM. Lineage: Archaea; Methanobacteriati; Methanobacteriota; Halobacteria; Halobacteriales; Haloferacaceae. The record is from RNAcentral.
AAAGGCGGCCAGAGCGGUGGGGACACACCCGUACCCAUUCCGAACACGGAAGUUAAGCCCACCAGCGUACCGUGAAGUACUGGAGUGAGCGAUCUUCUGGGAACCACGGGUCGCCGCCUGCC